Molecule: long non-coding RNA, 289 nt
Organism: Thalassophryne amazonica
Lineage: Eukaryota; Metazoa; Chordata; Actinopteri; Batrachoidiformes; Batrachoididae
Exons: 3
Source: RefSeq, a predicted model, not a curated record
AAGUUGACAGUAAAUUCUGACAAAUCAGGGCCCAUGUACAUAAAGCAUCUUUUUAUGGACACCAGCAUAUUUUAUCAAUUACUCUAAAUGAAAACAGAGUGCAGGCAGCUGCCUCCAGAAAAAAGCCUGAGCCAGAGCAGAAUGCUUUUUUUUUCUUUUUGUACGCCGGUUCGGAACACUGUUAAGUUUAAAAACCUUGAAGUUCAGAAAGACGCCAUGUUGUUACUCCAGCACCUUUUCAAGCAAACAGAAGGAGACGUUUAUUUUUACUGACUUGGUACUCAAAAUG